UACGUAGGGUGCGAGCGUUGUCCGGAAUUACUGGGCGUAAAGAGCUCGUAGGUGGUUUGUCGCGUUGUUCGUGAAAUCUCACGGCUUAACUGUGAGCGUGCGGCGAUACGGGCAGACUAGAGUACUGCAGGGGAGACUGGAAUUCCUGGUGUAGCGGUGGAAUGCGCAGAUAUCAGGAGGAACACCGGUGGCGAAGGCGGGUCUCUGGGCAGUAACUGACGCUGAGGAGCGAAAGCGUGGGGAGCGAACAGG
This 252-nucleotide ribosomal RNA is filed under the name uncultured bacterium. RNAcentral's name for it is "partial 16S ribosomal RNA". It matches the Rfam family "Bacterial small subunit ribosomal RNA", at positions 524 to 776 of the family's 1533-position model. The record is from RNAcentral.